GGGGGUGUAGCUCAGUUGGUAGAGCACUUGCCCAACAUGCAGGAGACUCUUGAUUUCACCCCUA
RNAcentral lists this transfer RNA (64 nucleotides) under Cricetulus griseus (Chinese hamster). It matches the Rfam family "tRNA". From Rfam's summary of the family: Transfer RNA (tRNA) molecules are approximately 80 nucleotides in length. Their secondary structure includes four short double-helical elements and three loops (D, anti-codon, and T loops). The record is from Rfam by way of RNAcentral. Lineage: Eukaryota; Metazoa; Chordata; Mammalia; Rodentia; Cricetidae.